AUACGGAGGGGGCGAGCGUUGUUCGGAAUCAUUGGGCGUAAAGGGCGCGUAGGCGGCAUCACAAGUCAGAUGUGAAAGCCCCGGGCUCAACCCGGGAACUGCGCUUAUUACUGAUAAACUAGAGUCCGGGAGAGGGUGGCGGAAUUCCCAGUGUAGAGGUGAAAUUCGUAGAUAUUGGGAAGAACACCAGUGGCGAAGGCGGCCACCUGGCCCGGUACUGACGCUCAGACCCGAAAGCGUGGGGAGCAAACUGGAGUAGAAACCCUGGUAGUCC
RNAcentral lists this ribosomal RNA (274 nucleotides) under uncultured bacterium. RNAcentral describes it as "partial 16S ribosomal RNA". It matches the Rfam family "Bacterial small subunit ribosomal RNA", at positions 523 to 796 of the family's 1533-position model. The record is from RNAcentral.